Molecule: ribosomal RNA, 253 nt
Filed under: uncultured bacterium
Lineage: Bacteria
Description: partial 16S ribosomal RNA
Rfam family: Bacterial small subunit ribosomal RNA
Source: RNAcentral
UACGUAGGGUGCGAGCGUUGUCCGGAAUUAUUGGGCGUAAAGAGCUCGUAGGCGGUCUGUCGCGUCGGAUGUGAAAGCCCGGGGCUUAACCCCGGGUCUGCAUUCGAUACGGGCAGACUAGAGUGUGGUAGGGGAGAUCGGAAUUCCUGGUGUAGCGGUGAAAUGCGCAGAUAUCAGGAGGAACACCGGUGGCGAAGGCGGAUCUCUGGGCCAUUACUGACGCUGAGGAGCGAAAGCGUGGGGAGCGAACAGG